Molecule: long non-coding RNA, 641 nt
Filed under: Bos indicus x Bos taurus (hybrid cattle)
Lineage: Eukaryota; Metazoa; Chordata; Mammalia; Artiodactyla; Bovidae
Description: lncRNA (ENSBIXG00005018180.1)
Source: RNAcentral
CCCUCCCCCAGUGGCCGGGCGGCCCCAGCCCCGGCCCCAGCCCCGGUCCACGCUGGUUGGUCCCCCGAUCGAGAGUGGUAAGGGUUGGGGGUAGGGGGAGAGGAGGGAGGGAGGGAGGGAGGGGAGGGGAGGAGGCGGAGGACGGGGGCGGCCCUCCUGACGUGACAGCUCCCACUUAGCCAGAAGAGACAUGAAAGAGGCAACAGAUGCCACUUCAGUAGCAGAGCAUCAUGGGAGCCCAGCCGGCUUGCUCCUGUUCCAGCGUUCAAACCCAAAGGGCAUCUCUAUUACCCCAGCAAGAAGAUCAAACUGCUGCUGCUGCUGCUAAGUCGCUUCAGUCGUGUCUGACUCUGUGCGACCCCAUAGAUGGCAGCCCACCAGGCUUCCCCAUCCCUGAGAUUCUCCUGGCAAGAACACUGGAGUGGGUUGCCAUUUCCUUCUCCGAUGCAUGAAAGUGAAAAGUGAAAGUGAAGUUGCUCAGUCGUGUCUGACUCCUAACGACCCCAUGGACUGCAGCCUACCAGGCUCCUCUGUCCAUGGGAUUUUCCAGGCAAGAGUACUGGAAAAGAGCACUGGAGUGGGGUGCCAUUGCCUUCUCCGAGGAAGAUCAAACUAGUCAAUCCUAAAAGAAAUCAACCUUG